This is a long non-coding RNA of Lolium rigidum, 3291 nucleotides long. RefSeq lists it as uncharacterized. The transcript has 2 exons. NCBI's taxonomy places the organism in Eukaryota, Viridiplantae, Streptophyta, Magnoliopsida, Poales, Poaceae. The record is from RefSeq and is a predicted model, not a curated record.
UAUAUACAUGAACAUGCUACAUUUAGCUUUAAAGAAUUAAUAUCAACAUUGCAAUUAGGAGUAGCGAAUAGAGCGAUGAGCAAGUUGUAUAUGGAUGAUGACCUUAUUGUCGAGCCAUAUACUUUGUAUAUCCCAAUUUUAUAUCUUAGGGGUUCCUUUUAUCUGCACUACAAAUGGCAUUAGACGUUUCCUGUGUUGAAACUACAAUAAGUAUCAGCAAGAUGGUGUAUCAAACUGACAAAGAAUUGCAUGUUUUUCUUGAUAUCUAUGAUAAACAUGUGGUAGAUAGCUAGCUAUAAAGAAAUGCACGUUUUUCUUAAUAUCUAUUAAUACCCUGUGCUACCUAGCUAGCUGUAAAGAUAGGUCACUGUGUGCAUACCUCUGAAAUAGAAACAUACUUAGCUUCUCCUGCUAGCCAAGAAGAUACUUUUAUAACUGUUACUAUCUGAAUUGAUUUUUUACUACAUGCUUGAUUGUUUCAAGUCUACACCAAAAAAAAGACUAAACUGAACCAUGUUUGGUGCAAGAUAGAAGACCUAUAUAUACAUAAUCAGUUGUCGAGUAACUGAACUUCGUUGCUUGACCAGUACCUGACUAACUAAGCAACUUCAUACUUCUGAUAUCUCUAACCAGAUUCCGUUAGCUUAGUAGGAAAUUAUAUAAUUUUAAUUCCAGUGGUCAUACUUACUAUUUAAUUUCACCAUAUUAUGAUGGGGAAUUUUUUGAGGCUCUCCAUAGAGCUUCAUCCCGAGAUACUAUAAUUGUACUAUCCGUCAGAAUGAUUGUUCCUCAGCUUUCAAGUAUCUCAUGAUUUCUUUUUCUGAAUUGCAUGGGACUCCUGUCACAGUUACGGUUUCGUUUCUCAGUUAUAGAGAUAUAUACCUUGCAGUACUGAAGCUUUUGUAAGUGUGAGCAUAAGCCCUAUUGAUGUUGCAGCCAGUGAAAACAUUAUUGUUUACACUUCAGAUUUCCUAAUUCAGCAGGCCGGGUUGUGAAAACCCAGGAAUACUAUCACGUUUGAUUCAAAAAAUUCUAUGGAUUAGAAACACCUUUUCUUGUGUUACAUUUUGUGCAUUGCCAAAUGAGUGUACCACUACGAAGGCUAAGGAGCUCAUUCAUUGGAACAAGAGGUAAAAAUAACUGUACAUUCUGAGGUUAUAGUAUGUUUACUGGUUUCGGUAAGUAUUUUAUCAAGAUUAAGCAUCUUAUUAAAUGUUUUUUCCAUUAGUUUGUAUGCACCGCACAUUUUCUGAGUAACUUAUUGGGCAUUCGAGUUCAAAUGCAUCUAAUAUCACUUUUUUUACGGUAGUACAUGUGCUUUUAGACAUGUUUAUGCACUCUUAAUUGUCUAAUAUAAUUGUAGUGGACAUUCAUCUUUUGGUAAAUUGGAAUUCAGUUUUGAGUUUUUUCAUGAAAGAAUAUAGCCGCGGCUGUGAACCUUUAGCUAUCAGAAAUUCAGAAUACAUAUGCUCAGUUUUAGUGAAUAACUUAACCAUAUCAGGGACACCUAAUUCCCAAAAGUAAUAAAGCAUCCUUUAUCGAAAAAAAAUCAGGGACACCUAAAGGUUUUUUGUCCAUAUUGUAAUUUCUGUAGCCAAAGCAUAUAAGAUUGAUGAUCCACAUUUUCCUUGGCAUUUUGUGUAUACUGUUCAGAUAUCUAGGAUGUUCUCUCCAGUAUUCACAAACCAACUUUAUAUUCUUUAGUAUCACGCGAUGUCAAAUAGGCAGUGUACUGUCUUUUCUGAAUGUAAUGUUUUACAACUUACUUAUUUGUCUUUUAGGACAUAACAUAUGACAAUUGAACUAUUAUUUACUUUAGUUGUGCUUUUAUAUUCGAACCAUGCAGCUAUUAAGGGGGAGGCCACAAGGAGCCGUCGAUCAGUCCAAUUCAUUCUUGCCCGAAACAAGUGGGCUAUUCAUUCCGGUGCCACUUUUGUUCAAUCGAGUCCAUGUUCUCUAUUUCCCAAAACCCAUUCGUUCACCAACCCGUGGACCAGAGGUUGCUUGCUUGGAAUUGAGCUUUCUAGCUUUCUUUAGUACAAUCUUUUUGAGUACAUGACCGAAAAGUACAUAUCAGCGAUGAACAAAAGAACAUAAUAAAGAGAGAGAAAAACGAGAUAUCACCACCACUGGUCUAAACUGCGAACAAAAGCAAGAACCUAAAACCUAUGCUUCUAGGCUGAACCUUGCCGUUGCUCUCAUUCAGCCUGAAGAAAUUAAGAAACGACCCUUGCUGGCUUUAGCCCAAAGUCUCGCGUCAGUUUUGGUUUUAUCGACAAUUUGUUGGAUGGUCUUAAACUCUUUUCUGAAAACUCUACCAUUCCUCUCUUGCCAGAUCGCUCAAGUAGUAAGAAACACCAUUAUGUUCAAUCUUUUCUUCUCGGGUGACUGUAAGCUAUCUGGUUUGGGGCAGUUGGAUGUGCGUGCUUUUAGGAGCAUAUGACGAGUUGCCGUAUUUAUCUUCGGGGUGCAGCAAAUUGGGUCUGCAGGUGCAAGUUUAUCAGCUGCCCCGGAAUCUGGAUUGUCCCACAUGAAACAGAGGCUCGUGGAUGAGAUAUCUCAAAUCAAACCGCAGCACUUAACUAUUUCUCAAGCUGAUGCUCUGGUGGUUUAUGUGUACUGUGAUCUAAGAUCUUCAAUUUUGUCCUCAUCAUUGGAGGUGAUACCGUUUCAAUUGGCCCGCCUUUAUCUGCAUCACAUGGGAUUGGUGAUCGUUCUUUCAAUGGCAUUUCUAUUUUGUUAUUUCCUUUACAGCCAUACAAGUAAGAGCGCCCUUCAUAAAAAAUACAGCCAUACAAGUUAGUCCCCUCCCUUUUUUUGUAAGGAAGUUCUUCGAAUUAUAUGUCAGGUUUACUACAUAGGAAGUUCUUCGAGUCCCGUUGGUCAUGUCUGAUGUAGGCCACUUUAUUUUCUUUUCCCCACUUGUGUUUCUAGCAGGCCAACUGAUAUCCAGCACUAAAUCCCUCAACGACAAAGAAGAGCUCACUCCAGUUUGGUGCCUUACCACGCCAACCAAUCAAAGAGCUCAUCGUUCUCUCCUUUAACGACGACGAAGAAGACAAAGCCCAUAACGAAAAGCCCAAAGAAAAAGAAAUAGUGAUACCACCAGUUCUACUACUACCCUACACCACUUCUAUUAAGUUUGUCAUCAGAAAUAUGACCAUCUAUGGACUAAGAUAGUACUAUGAACUAUCUACAGUUUGCCAUGUACCGCGUCUGUAAGAUAGUACUAUGAACUAUGUAAUCGUCUCUGUAGCUCAUCCUUAUUUCAUAAAUGGUUUUGGCUCGCCA